CGUCAGUCGAGAUUUGUUCUCUCCGAAGUCGGUUCCAGAUUUUAACAGCAGUCGAGGCGUUUAAUAUACCCAUUUUAUCUAUGUAGUCGCAAUCGGGAAUAUCUGCCCUUGAUUUUACGGGAUUAGCAGAAAAAUAUAAGUGUAUUCUUUUUCUGAUCCCGGAAAAAAAACGGCGGGUAUUCCCGAUUGCAAAUACAGUUAUGGUGGUUAUAUAGUGCAGUUCUGCAUUUGUAUUCUCAUUAAAAGCUUACUAAAGUGACCGAAAGAUACAUAAAAUCUCAGAGACCUUAUCUAGACAAGGUAUAUACGAGGGUCUGAUUCACUUGGGAACUCAGUAAUUCAGAACAAACUGAUUGGAUGUGCUGCCAUUUGGAGUUUGGUGCUAUCAACAAAAAACAAAUUCUAUGACGAAUCCCUCAAAUGGAACAUUUAUACUGUCGCUCGGUGAACUCGGUGGGAACUCUGUGACUUAGAACAAACUGAUUGGAUGUGCUGCUAUUCGGCUUUUAGUGUUAUCAACAAAAACAAAUUCUAUGACGAAUCCCUCAAAUGGAGCAUUUAAACUGUCGCAAAUAAAAUGUGUAAUUUUGCUCAGUGCAUUGGGUUCUUAGUGUGUGUGCACAUCUAAUGUCCAAUUUCAAUUUGGACUGGCUGGCUGACAGAGCUUGUCGCCGACCACCGCAAAUGGCAAACAAUGUGUAGAAGGUGCCCUCCACCCAAAAACUCCCCAUUUCACAUAUCUACAGGGUAGAAUAGAGGGAGAUGGCAAGGGAGACGGGGUCAGAGUUUACAAAAAGGAAACGUGCGCCGUGCGCUAUGCUGCACUUCUUAGCGAUGUACCGUUAUGCUCGUGCUCACCGCGCUAGGUGGUGACUGUACCUCGCCUUUGACAAAGCCAUUUUAAGGAUUUUUAAGCCAACAAAGCUAAAAAGUUACUUUAAAGGAAAGUGAGGUCAAGCGGAAGUGGAAAAUAAUAUUCGAAAAUGGUGUAUCCUACAAUGGUACAGAUUUUAUAACAUUAGAAAGGCAUAUUGUUGACAUAACUUUGUGUAAAGUAUAAUAUUAAAUUGUUUAUAAGAACUAAUUUAACUUAA
Drosophila subpulchrella is the source of this 1094-nucleotide long non-coding RNA. RefSeq lists it as uncharacterized. The record is from RefSeq and is a predicted model, not a curated record. The transcript is spliced from 3 exons. NCBI's taxonomy places the organism in Eukaryota, Metazoa, Arthropoda, Insecta, Diptera, Drosophilidae.